GGGUGUAUAGCUCAGUUGUAAAGCUUUCGACUGCAGAUUGAGAGGUCUCCGAUUCAACCCCGGGUUUUCCCA
Molecule: non-coding RNA, 72 nt
Organism: Trichonephila inaurata madagascariensis
Lineage: Eukaryota; Metazoa; Arthropoda; Arachnida; Araneae; Nephilidae
Source: the annotation of a GenBank genome assembly